This 256-nucleotide ribosomal RNA is filed under the name uncultured bacterium. RNAcentral's name for it is "partial 16S ribosomal RNA". It matches the Rfam family "Bacterial small subunit ribosomal RNA", at positions 524 to 777 of the family's 1533-position model. The record is from RNAcentral.
UACGUAGGGGGGCUAGCGUUGUCCGGAAUCAUUGGGCGUAAAGCGCGUGUAGGCGGUCCGGUAAGUCCGCUGUGAAAGUCGGGGGCUCAACCCUCGGAUGCCGGUGGAUACUGUCGGGCUUGAGUACGGAAGAGGCGAGUGGAAUUCCUGGUGUAGCGGUGAAAUGCGCAGAUAUCGAGAGGAACACCUGCGGCGAAGGCGGGUUGCUGGGCUGAUGACUGACGCUGGGGCGCGAAAGCCAGGGGAGCGAACGGGG